CAAUAACCGUUGCGUUAGCGAUUGCAGUGGCAUCCUUUUUUAGCUUUAAUACAUGGCUAAAAAAGAUAUAACGAAAAGCGCGACCCCUU
This 89-nucleotide small RNA is filed under the name Formosa agariphila KMM 3901. Its description in RNAcentral is "Flavo-1 RNA". It matches the Rfam family "Flavo-1 RNA". The record is from Rfam by way of RNAcentral. Lineage: Bacteria; Pseudomonadati; Bacteroidota; Flavobacteriia; Flavobacteriales; Flavobacteriaceae.